This 253-nucleotide ribosomal RNA is filed under the name uncultured bacterium. RNAcentral describes it as "partial 16S ribosomal RNA". It matches the Rfam family "Bacterial small subunit ribosomal RNA", at positions 524 to 776 of the family's 1533-position model. The record is from RNAcentral.
CACGGUGGGAGCAAGCGUUGUUCGGAAUCACUGGGCGUAAAGGGCGUGUAGGCGGUCAGGUAAGUGGGACGUGAAAUCCCUCGGCUCACCCGAGGACCUGCGUCCCAUACUGCUUGGCUUGAGUAUGGGAGAGGAUGAGGGAAUUCCUGGUGUAGCGGUGAAAUGCGUAGAUAUCAGGAGGAACACCGGUGGCGAAGGCGCUCAUCUGGCCCAAUACUGACGCUGAGGCGCGAAAGCUAGGGGAGCAAACGGG